Molecule: ribosomal RNA, 353 nt
Filed under: uncultured bacterium
Lineage: Bacteria
Description: bacterial SSU rRNA
Rfam family: Bacterial small subunit ribosomal RNA
Source: RNAcentral
AGAGUUUGAUCAUGGCUCAGGAUGAACGCUGGCGGCGUGCUUAACACAUGCAAGGUCGAACGAAGAUGCCGGAGUGCUUGCACUUUGGCAGACUGAGUGGCGGACGGGUGAGUAACGCGUGGGUAACCUGCCUUAUACAGGGGGAUAACACUGAGAAAUUGGUACUAAUACCCCAUAAUAUCAUAGAAGGCAUCUUUUAUGGUUGAAAAUUCCGAUGGUUAGAGAUGGGCAUGCGUUGUAUUAGCUAGUUGGUGGGGUAACGGCUCACCAAGGCGACGAUACAUAGGGGGACUGAGAGGUUAACCCCCCACACUGGUACUGAGACACGGACCAGACUCCUACGGGAGGCAGCA